Molecule: long non-coding RNA, 3092 nt
Organism: Felis catus (domestic cat)
Lineage: Eukaryota; Metazoa; Chordata; Mammalia; Carnivora; Felidae
Exons: 5
Source: RefSeq, a predicted model, not a curated record
AGAGCCCGACAUGGGGCUCGAACCCACGAACCGUGAGAUCAUGACCUUAGUCAAAGUCAGACGCUUAACCGACUGAGCCACCCAAGCGCCCCUCACUGCUCAGUUUUUAAUCUGUAAAAUUGGGGUAAUAAAGGUACCUCCUUCCAAUAAACAUUUUUGUAAAGAUUAAGUGGCUAAAUGUAUUUAAAGCCCAAGAACUAGGUCUUACACAUGUUAGCUGCUACUUUUAUUAUUUAUUACUUAUAAGCAAAUAUGCCACCCUGGGUCCUCUAUACUCUACGAGAGGUAUUGGCUCUGUUCUCUGAAGGGUUUGUGCUGAUUCAUUGCCCUUUUUCAUCCCAAAACAUUUGUGAGGAAACUAGGUUUAAUUUGGGUUAUUGUCUGUGACUGGGAAGCAGAGUAUAAAGUUACUGGUAACAUUUGAGGGUGGAUCAUGUCAGGCCUUAACAGGUUCCCUUGUGUUUCUCCUUAUAGUUGACCCCUGUCUGUAGGUUCUGGUCGUGAAGGAGUCACCUCACAAAUAAUCUGUCUUGACUCUACCUUUGUGUAAGCCCUCAUCUCUGUGGUGUAAUCUUCCUGCUCCUGGUUAUCUCACUCUAGGUCUUGCCAGAACCUCCUCUUAGCCUCCCCUCCUAGCCCUACCUCUUCCCCAAUACUAAUUAGGUGACUCAGGCUCUGAUACUGAUCACUGAAUUCCCAAAUUCCUCUUGCCUCCAUGCUUGACAUUCCGAGCAUUUGUUCUCCUAAGUUUUACUUCCGCUGAGCCUGUCCUAACCUCUGGACACUUUUCUACCUCCUGCCUUUUUUGCCUACUGUUGUUGGGAUACAUUGGUCGCCAAUGACAAUGGACUUUCAACCAGUAUCUAAAGCAGCAUAUCUUCUUCACCUCCAACCUCUUCCUGGUACUGUUGCUUCAUUUAAGAGAGGGCAGAAAUGCUGUGUGUUCACCAAAACUCACCACAAGUUUCUUCUACCCCCUAAAUAUACAGCUAGGCCAUAUUUCCCAGUCUCCCUUAUAGUUAGGUUUGGUCAUGGGGCUGAAUUUUGCUUGAAGGAACGUGGGUAAAAAUUAUGUCCAAUCCUCAUGAGAUCCUCUAUGCCCUCUCUCUCCUCCGCUACCUCCUAGCAAGAUAGCAAGAUUCUAACAGAGGGAUCCAAGACUAUACAAGAAGACAGAGCCAUAGGAUGCAAGGACCCCGGAUUUCUGAGUGACCACGUGGAAGGCUGCCUAUUGACCAGGAAUUGGACUUGGUGGGCGGUGUUGCCAGAGUUUGCCUGCAAAGUGGAAUCUUUGUGAAAGAAAAAUAAAGAUUUGAUGGACAAGAUUUAUUGUGUGCAAGGACUCAACUCUGUGAACCAAGAGAACAUGGGUAUCUUCACUUAAUACAAGGGCAAACACAAGAUUGAAAGAUUUGUGCAAGCUUGCUAAAAUGAGUGACAAACGUAAGCAAAGUUUUACCUGAAGAGACGUGGAAAGAAAAAACAAUGCAACAAUGUCCUCCAUAUAUUGAGAACGUAUAAGGACGAUGGGGAAGCUGAGACAAAGAACUUUUGAGUAACUCUUCUGAGCUAGUGAGUGGCAAGACUGGGAUUUGAACUCAGGCUGUAUGGCUCCAGACUCAUCACUCUCUAUGGUAUGCUGCCUCUCCAAAAUGAUUGUUAAAGUUUCUUUUUCUUGUAUAAUGAAUUAAGACCUUUUCCACACCCAUUUAGAACUGAUUUGUCCUGCAUCCCAUCCCUCUUUCACUGGAUAAGCUUAUUCAUAAAACCUAUCAUUAAAAACCCACACCCUAAAAUGAGCAUGAUAGGCAAACAGUUUAAGGGAUUCCAAUAGCAAUUAGCUUUCCCCAAAUAGCACAUUUUUUUUUUAGCAAGGACUCAGAAAAGCCAAGGAAGUCGUGCUAAAUCACCAUGAUAUUAGUGGGCCAAGAUGUUUCUGAACAAAUGGGAUGCUCUAAGGGUACCCAUGCAAAUGGUUUCUCUCUUUGGACUACAUGAUGACUAAUGUUCCUUCCUUGCCUAUACCACCUAUCUUGGCUUAUCACUGUUUCUGGGGGACGUGGGGAGGACAUGUAACUCCCCAGGCCUCCAUGAUAUUCAUCUACAAUUCUGGGCAGCUCUUGAAGCAAGUGUGAAGGACUAAAAGGUCAAUAAAGUAAAACACAUAUAUGUAGUGACAAAGCAAGACACAACUGAUAGAAAAUAAUGCAAAGAAAUUUCAUGAAGCUCAAAUAAAUGGACAAACGAUAUAGGCAUUUGUUGGUCCUCCUUGGUGUGACAAAUGAAACAGGCAUUAACAUGGAGGACAAAGCCCAUUGUAGCUCUUUGUCAAUGAUCCGGUAGAGUACUGGCUUCUACUCCUGACCAGAGAUCACCCUUUUCUAUACAAUAAAUACUUGUAGAGUACCUACUAUGUGCUGGACACUUUCUAGACAUUGGAAUUAUGUCUUAGUUCAUUUGGGCUGCUAUAAGAAAAAUGCCAGAAGCCAAGUAUAAGCCACAAAAAUUUAUUUCUCAUGUUCCAGAGGCUAGAAAGUUGAAGAUCAAGCACUGGCUGAUUCCAUAUCUGGUGAGGUCCACUUCCUGGUUUAUGGAUGACCUUCUUUUCAUUAUAACCUCACAUGGUGGAAGGGGUGAGCUAGCUCCCAGGGUCUCUUUUGUAAGGCCACUAAUGCCAAACAUGAGGGCUCUGCCCUCAUGACCUAAUCACCUCCUGAAGGCCCCCACCUCCCACUACCAUCACCUUGAAGGUUAAGAUUUCAACAUAUGAAUGUAGGGGGGCACAAACAUUUAGUCUGUAGUGGUAUAAACAGAACUAACAAAGAUCCUUGUCCUCCCAGAGUUCAUAUUCUUUUCAUCUUUCUUUUUCAUAUUCAUUUUAAAAGGAGCCACUGUUCUUUUUGUUCGGAUGUUUCUUUAUAUUUUUAGUCCUCUUAGUGGGUAAAAUGUGGCAGAUUGCAUAAAAUAGAGCAACAAAGGUAUUAAACCACAAAUGGCCCAAAUCCCCGACCGUUAAUAGCACAGGAGACAUCUGAGAUUGCAUGAGUGUGAGGUAAGGCCCCGAGGCAUCGCAUGGGCCAACUUCUGCAUUA